CCUACGGGAGGCAGCAGUGGGGAAUAUUGCACAAUGGGGGAAACCCUGAUGCAGCAACGCCGCGUGAAGGAAGACGGUUUUCGGAUUGUAAACUUCUGUUCUUAGUGAAGAAUAAUGCCGUUAGCUAAGGAGCCAGCCACUGCUAACUACGUGCCAGCAGCCUCGGUAAUCCGUAGGUGGCAAGCGUUGUCCGGAAUUACUGGGUGUAAAGGGGGCGCAGACGGGAGCGCAAGCCAGGGGUGAAAGCCCGGGGCCCAACCCCGGGACUGCUCUUGGAACUGCGCGGCUGGAGUGCAGGAGGGGAAGGCGGAAUUCCUGGUGUAGCGGUGAAAUGCGUAGAUAUCAGGAGGAACACCGGUGGCGAAGGCGGCCUGCUGGACUGCGACUGACGUUGAGGCCCGAAAGCGUGGGGAGCAAACAGGAUUAGAUACCCGUGUAGUC
This 441-nucleotide ribosomal RNA is filed under the name uncultured bacterium. RNAcentral's name for it is "partial 16S ribosomal RNA". It matches the Rfam family "Bacterial small subunit ribosomal RNA", at positions 338 to 795 of the family's 1533-position model. The record is from RNAcentral.